GACGAACGCUGGCGGCGUGCCUAAUACAUGCAAGUCGAACGAACCGCGACUAAGUGCUUGCACUAAGUCAAGGUGAGUGGCGAACGGGUGAGUAACACGUGGGUAACCUACCUCAUAGUGGGGGAUAACAGUCGGAAACGACUGCUAAUACCGCAUAGGACAUAGGAUCACAUGAUCCAGUGAGGAAAGGUGGCGCAAGCUAUCGCUAGGAGAUGGACCCGCGGUGCAUUAGCUAGUUGGUAGGGUAAAGGCCUACCAAGGCGAUGAUGCAUAGCCGACCUGAGAGGGUGAUCGGCCACAUUGGGACUGAGACACGGCCCAAACUCCUACGGGAGGCAGCAGUAGGGAAUCUUCCGCAAUGGACGCAAGUCUGACGGAGCAACGCCGCGUGAGUGAAGAAGGUCUUCGGAUCGUAAAGCUCUGUUGUUAGAGAAGAACAGCGCAUAGAGUAACUGCUAUGCGUGUGACGGUAUCUAACCAGAAAGCCACGGCUAACUACGUG
Molecule: ribosomal RNA, 502 nt
Filed under: uncultured bacterium
Lineage: Bacteria
Description: partial 16S ribosomal RNA
Rfam family: Bacterial small subunit ribosomal RNA
Source: RNAcentral